This 151-nucleotide non-coding RNA is filed under the name Acanthisitta chloris (rifleman). RNAcentral describes it as "Eukaryotic large subunit ribosomal RNA". It matches the Rfam family "Eukaryotic large subunit ribosomal RNA", at positions 2832 to 2984 of the family's 3401-position model. Lineage: Eukaryota; Metazoa; Chordata; Aves; Passeriformes; Acanthisittidae. The record is from Rfam by way of RNAcentral.
GUCAUAGAACAGCCAAGUGUUCAUAGCAACACCACUUUUUGACCCUUCGGUGUUGUCUCUUCCUAUCAUUGCGAAGCAGAAUCACCAAGUUUUGGAUUGGUCACCCACUAAUACAAAACAUGAGCUGGGAUUAGACCUCAUGAGACAGGUU